GACGAACGCUGGCGGCGUGCCUAAUACAUGCAAGUAGAACGCUGAAGGAGGAGCUUGCUCUUCUGGAUGAGUUGCGAACGGGUGAGUAACGCGUAGGUAACCUGCCUGGUAGCGGGGGAUAACUAUUGGAAACGAUAGCUAAUACCGCAUAAGAGUAGAUGUUGCAUGACAUUUACUUAAAAGGUGCAAUUGCAUCACUACCAGAUGGACCUGCGUUGUAUUAGCUAGUUGGUGGGGUAACGGCUUACCAAGGCGACGAUACAUAGCCGACCUGAGAGGGGGAUCGGCCACACUGGGACUGAGACACGGCCCAGACGCCUACGGGAGGCAGCAGUAGGGAAUCUUCGGCAAUGGACGGAAGUCUGACCGAGCAACGCCGCGUGAGUGAAGAAGGUUUUCGGAUCGUAAAGCUCUGUUGUAAGAGAAGAACGAGUGUGAGAGUGGAAAGUUCACACUGUGACGGUAUCUUACCAGAAAGGGACGGCUAACUACGUG
RNAcentral lists this ribosomal RNA (495 nucleotides) under uncultured bacterium. Its description in RNAcentral is "partial 16S ribosomal RNA". It matches the Rfam family "Bacterial small subunit ribosomal RNA", at positions 28 to 507 of the family's 1533-position model. The record is from RNAcentral.